RNAcentral lists this ribosomal RNA (365 nucleotides) under uncultured eukaryote. RNAcentral describes it as "partial 18S ribosomal RNA". It matches the Rfam family "Eukaryotic small subunit ribosomal RNA", at positions 592 to 976 of the family's 1831-position model. The record is from RNAcentral.
CAAUAGCGUAUAUUUAAGUUGUUGCAGUUAAAAAGCUCGUAGUCGGAUUUUGGCUGAGAACGAUCGGUCCGCCGUUAGGUGUGCACUGAUUGGUCUCAGCUUCCUGGUGAGGAGGUGUGCUUCACGGCCACUUAGUCACCGUGGUUACUUUGAAAAAAUUAGAGUGUUCAAAGCGGGCUUACGCUUGAAUAUAUUAGCAUGGAAUAACACCAUAGGACUCCUGUCCUAUUUCGUUGGUCUCGGGACGGGAGUAAUGAUUAAGAGGAACAGUUGGGGGCAUUCGUAUUUCAUUGUCAGAGGUGAAAUUCUUGGAUUUAUGAAAGACGAACUUCUGCGAAAGCAUUUGCCAAGGAUGUUUUCAUUGG